CUCUAAUUAGAGCUCAAUCGGUAGAGCGUAAGACUCUUAAUCUUAAGGUCGCGGGUUCGACCCCCGCGUUGGGCU
Non-coding RNA from Cryoendolithus antarcticus, 75 nucleotides. The record is from the annotation of a GenBank genome assembly. Lineage: Eukaryota; Fungi; Ascomycota; Dothideomycetes; Cladosporiales; Cladosporiaceae.